GAUGAACGCUGGCGGCGUGCCUAAUACAUGCAAGUCGAACGAAACUUCUUUAUCACCGAGUGCUUGCACUCACCGAUAAAGAGUAGAGUGGCGAACGGGUGAGUAACACGUGGGCAACCUGCCCAAAAGAGGGGGAUAACACUUGGAAACAGGUGCUAAUACCGCAUAACCAUAGUUACCGCAUGGUAACUAUGUAAAAGGUGGCUAUACUACCGCUUUUGGAUGGGCCCGCGGCGCAUUAGCUAGUUGGUAGGGUAAAGGCUUACCAAGGCAAUGAUGCGUAGCCGAAUUGAGAGGUUGAUCGGCCACAUUGGGACUGAGACACGGCCCAAACUCCUACGGGAGGCAGCAGUAGGGAAUCUUCCACAAUGGGCGAAAGCCUGAUGGAGCAACGCCGCGUGGGUGAAGAAGGUCUUCGGAUCGUAAAACCCUGUUGUUAGAGAAGAAAGUGCGUGAGAGUAACUGUUCACGUUUCGACGGUAUCUAACCAGAAAGCCACGGCUAACUACGUG
This 512-nucleotide ribosomal RNA is filed under the name uncultured bacterium. RNAcentral's name for it is "partial 16S ribosomal RNA". It matches the Rfam family "Bacterial small subunit ribosomal RNA", at positions 28 to 507 of the family's 1533-position model. The record is from RNAcentral.